Molecule: small nucleolar RNA, 107 nt
Rfam family: Plant small nucleolar RNA R71
About the family: R71 is a member of the C/D box family of snoRNAs containing the C (UGAUGA) and D (CUGA) box motifs.
Source: Rfam
AUACCAUGAUGACGACAUCUCCUGAGUAACUCCUUAAAUCUUUCUCAUUCAUCAUACAAACUCUCAUCUUUAAGUUGAUGCAAAGAUGUGAUCUCGUUCAUCACUUU